GACGCUGGCGGCGGCUAACACAUGCAAGUCGAACGCCCCGCAAGGGGAGUGGCAGACGGGUGAGUAACGCGUGGGAACAUACCCUUUCCUGCGGAAUAGCUCCGGGAAACUGGAAUUAAUACCGCAUACGCCCUACGGGGGAAAGAUUUAUCGGGGAAGGAUUGGCCCGCGUUGGAUUAGCUAGUUGGUGGGGUAAAGGCCUACCAAGGCGACGAUCCAUAGCUGGUCUGAGAGGAUGAUCAGCCACAUUGGGACUGAGACACGGCCCAAACUCCUACGGGAGGCAGCAGUGGGGAAUAUUGGACAAUGGGCGCAAGCCUGAUCCAGCCAUGCCGCGUGACUGAUGAAGGCCUUAGGGUUGUAAAGCUCUUUCACCGAUGAAGAUAAUGACGGUAGUCGGAGAAGAAGCCCCGGCUAACUUCGUGCCAGCAGCCGCGGUAAUACGAAGGGGGCUAGCGUUGUUCGGAAUUACUGGGCGUAAAGCGCACGUAGGCGGAUAUUUAAGUCAGGGGUGAAAUCCCGCAGCUCAACUGCGGAACUGCCUUUGAUACUGGGUAUCUUGAGUAUGAAGAAGUAAGUGGAAUUCCGAGUGUAUAGGUGAAAUUUCGUAGAUAUUCGGAGGAACACCACUGGCGAAAGCGGCUUACUGGUCCAUUACUUGACCCUGAGGUGCGAAAGCGUGGGAGCAAACAGGAUUAGAUUCCCUGGUAGACCCCGCCGAAAACCAAUAAUGUUAGCCGUCCGCAAUAUACUUUUUCGGUGGCGCACCUACCCAUUAACAUUCCCCUGGGGAGACCGGGGGAGAUUAAUCUAAAGAAUUGCGGGGCCCCCCAACCGGGGACCUUUGUUAAUCAAAAACCCCAAACUACAACUUUUAAUUCGGUUGGCUUUGAAAAUUCCUAUUAGUUGCCCAAAGGGUUAGGUUUUAUACUUUAAAUUGUUAUUCAACACCAACCUCUUAUCCUUAUUGCCUAAG
This 976-nucleotide ribosomal RNA is filed under the name bacterium RZM28. RNAcentral's name for it is "bacterial SSU rRNA". The stretch from base 1 to 876 matches the Rfam family "Bacterial small subunit ribosomal RNA". The record is from RNAcentral.